UCGUAGUUGGCUACGUCUUGCGCCUUCGGGCCAUGCUCCUCUGCUGGCUGGCGACGGCUCCCGGGGUGCCACCCUCGGGAGCUGGCUAGCGGAUUGUAAUGUCACCUCGCGCGGGGAUAGAUCCUCUGCAGACGACUGUAGUGACCAAGCGGCGUCGUGUAAGCGGUCAAGUAGCCUUGUUGCUACGAGUCGCUGAGCGUCACCCGACCUUGGCUAGAUUU
This 221-nucleotide ribosomal RNA is filed under the name Penicillium griseofulvum. RNAcentral describes it as "partial 28S large subunit ribosomal RNA". The stretch from base 116 to 221 matches the Rfam family "Eukaryotic large subunit ribosomal RNA", at positions 3295 to 3399 of the family's 3401-position model. The record is from RNAcentral. Lineage: Eukaryota; Fungi; Ascomycota; Eurotiomycetes; Eurotiales; Aspergillaceae.